Molecule: ribosomal RNA, 1737 nt
Filed under: Listeria monocytogenes
Lineage: Bacteria; Bacillati; Bacillota; Bacilli; Caryophanales; Listeriaceae
Description: partial 23S ribosomal RNA
Rfam family: Bacterial large subunit ribosomal RNA
Source: RNAcentral
GGUUAAGUUAGAAAGGGCGCACGGUGGAUGCCUUGGCACUAGGAGCCGAAGAAGGACGGGACUAACACCGAUAUGCUUUGGGGAGCUGUACGUAAGCGUUGAUCCAGAGAUUUCCGAAUGGGGGAACCCACUAUCUUUAGUCGGAUAGUAUCCUUACGUGAAUACAUAGCGUGAGGAAGGCAGACCCAGGGAACUGAAACAUCUAAGUACCUGGAGGAAGAGAAAGAAAAAUCGAUUUCCUGAGUAGCGGCGAGCGAAACGGAAAGAGCCCAAACCAAGAAGCUUGCUUCUUGGGGUUGUAGGACACUCUAUACGGAGUUACAAAAGAAAGUUAUAAAUGAAGCGGUCUGGAAAGGCCCGCCAAAGACGGUAACAGCCCGGUAGUUGAAAUGGCUUUCCCUCCAGAGUGGAUCCUGAGUACGGCGGAACACGUGAAAUUCCGUCGGAAUCCGGGAGGACCAUCUCCCAAGGCUAAAUACUCCCUAGUGACCGAUAGUGAACCAGUACCGUGAGGGAAAGGUGAAAAGCACCCCGGAAGGGGAGUGAAACAGUUCCUGAAACCGUGUGCCUACAAGUAGUUAGAGCCCGUUAAUGGGUGAUAGCGUGCCUUUUGUAGAAUGAACCGGCGAGUUACGAUUUGUUGCAAGGUUAAGCGGAAAAAGCGGAGCCGUAGCGAAAGCGAGUCUGAAUAGGGCGCAUAAGUAACAGGUCGUAGACCCGAAACCAGGUGAUCUACCCAUGUCCAGGAUGAAGGUAAGGUAAUACUUACUGGAGGUCCGAACCCACGCACGUUGAAAAGUGCGGGGAUGAGGUGUGGGUAGCGGAGAAAUUCCAAUCGAACUUGGAGAUAGCUGGUUCUCUCCGAAAUAGCUUUAGGGCUAGCCUCGAGGUAAAGAGUCAUGGAGGUAGAGCACUGUUUGGACUAGGGGCCCUUCUCGGGUUACCGAAUUCAGAUAAACUCCGAAUGCCAUGUACUUAUACUCGGGAGUCAGACUGCGAGUGAUAAGAUCCGUAGUCGAAAGGGAAACAGCCCAGACCACCAGUUAAGGUCCCCAAAUAUAUGUUAAGUGGAAAAGGAUGUGGGGUUGCUUAGACAACCAGGAUGUUGGCUUAGAAGCAGCCACCAUUGAAAGAGUGCGUAAUAGCUCACUGGUCGAGUGACCCCGCGCCGAAAAUGUACCGGGGCUAAACAUAUUACCGAAACUGUGGAUGAACCUCUUUAGAGGUUCGUGGUAGGAGAGCGUUCUAAGGGCGGUGAAGUCAGACCGGAAGGACUGGUGGAGCGCUUAGAAGUGAGAAUGCCGGUAUGAGUAGCGAAAGAAGGGUGAGAAUCCCUUCCACCGAAUAUCUAAGGUUUCCUGAGGAAGGCUCGUCCGCUCAGGGUUAGUCGGGACCUAAGCCGAGGCCGAUAGGCGUAGGCGAUGGACAACAGGUAGAGAUUCCUGUACCAGUGCUAAUUGUUUAACCGAUGGGGUGACACAGAAGGAUAGGGAAUCGCACGAAUGGAAAUGUGCGUCCAAGCAGUGAGUGUGAGAAGUAGGCAAAUCCGCUUCUCGCGAAGCAUGAGCUGUGAUGGGGAAGGAAAUUAAGUACGGAAGUUCCUGAUUUCACGCUGUCAAGAAAAGCCUCUAGGAAGAGUAGUACUGCCCGUACCGCAAACCGACACAGGUAGAUGAGGAGAGAAUCCUAAGGUGAGCGAGAGAACUCUCGUUAAGGAACUCGGCAAAAUGACCCCGU